CCAGACUGGAACCGGGAGAGGUAAGAGGUACUACAGGGGUAGGAGUGAAAUCUUGGUAAUCCCUGUGGGACCACCUGUGGCGAAGGCGUCUUACCAGAACGGGUUCGACGGUGAGGGACGAAAGCUGGGGGCACGAACCGGAUUAGAUACCCGGGUAGUCCCAGCCGUAAACGAUGCUCGCUAGGUGUCAGGCAUGGCGCGACCGUGUCUGGUGCCGCAGGGAAGCCGUGAAGCGAGCCACCUGGGAAGUACGGCCGCGGAAGGCUGAAACUUAAAGGAAUUGGCGGGGGAGCACAACAACGGGUGGAGCCCUGCGGUUUAAUUGGACUCAACGCCGGACAACUCACCGGGGGCGACAGCAAUAUGUAGGCCAAGCUGAAGACUUUGCCUGAAUCGCUGAGAGGAGGUGCAUGG
This 414-nucleotide ribosomal RNA is filed under the name uncultured archaeon. Its description in RNAcentral is "bacterial SSU rRNA". It matches the Rfam family "Archaeal small subunit ribosomal RNA", at positions 588 to 997 of the family's 1478-position model. The record is from RNAcentral.